This 512-nucleotide ribosomal RNA is filed under the name uncultured bacterium. Its description in RNAcentral is "bacterial SSU rRNA". It matches the Rfam family "Bacterial small subunit ribosomal RNA", at positions 36 to 518 of the family's 1533-position model. The record is from RNAcentral.
CUGGCGGCGUGCCUAAUACAUGCAAGUCGAACGGUCUUUCUAUGGAAGCUUGCUUCCACUGAGAAGAUAGUGGCGAACGGGUGAGUAACACGUGGGUAACCCUGCCCAUAAGAGGGGGGAUAACAUCCGGAAACGGGUGCUAAUACCGCAUAGUUUUCUUGAUCGCAUGAUCGGGAAAGGAAAGACGGCCUUUGUGCUGUCGCUUAUGGAUGGACCCGCGGCGUAUUAGUUAGUUGGUGAGGUAACGGCUCACCAAGACGAUGAUACGUAGCCGACCUGAGAGGGUGAUCGGCCACAUUGGGACUGAGACACGGCCCAAACUCCUACGGGAGGCAGCAGUAGGGAAUCUUCCGCAAUGGACGAAAGUCUGACGGAGCAACGCCGCGUGAGUGAAGAAAAGGUUUUCGGAUCGUAAAACUCUGUUGUCAGAGAAGAACAAGUUGGAGAGUAACUGCUCCAGCCUUGACGGUAUCUGACCAGAAAGCCACGGCUAACUACGUGCCAGCAGCGGC